RNAcentral lists this ribosomal RNA (940 nucleotides) under uncultured archaeon. Its description in RNAcentral is "bacterial SSU rRNA". It matches the Rfam family "Archaeal small subunit ribosomal RNA", at positions 1 to 922 of the family's 1478-position model. The record is from RNAcentral.
UUCCGGUUGAUCCUGCCGGACCUUACUGCUAUCGGGAUGAGACUAAGCCAUGCAUGUCGAGCGCUCUUCAGCUAUGUAGAGAGCGCGGCGAACGGCUCAAUAACACGUAGUUAACCUACCCUCGGGAUGGGAAUAACCCCGGGAAACUGGGAUUAAUGCCCACUAGAUGAUUAUACCUGGAAUGGCUUAUCAUCGAAAGAGUCUGGAAACAUGCUUCCAGCGUCGCCCGAGGAUGGGACCGCGUCCGAUCAGGUAGUUGGUGGGGUAAUGGCCUACCAAGCCUAUAACCGGUACGGGCCCUGAGAGGGGGAGCCCGGAGAUGGAAACUGAGAAAAGGUUCCAGGCCCUACGGGGUGCAGCAGGCGCGAAACCUCCACAAUGCGCGAAAGCGUGAUGGGGUUAUCCCGAGUGCCGUCCGAUGAGGAUGGCUUUUUAUCGAUGUAAGGAUUCGAUAGAAUAAAGGGGGGGCAAGACUGGUGUCAGCCGCCGCGGUAAUACCAGCCCCCUGAGUGGUAAGGACGAUUAUUUGGCCUAAAGCGUUCGUAGCCGGCUUAUCAAGUCUUUUGUUAAAUCCAACGAUUCAAUCGUUGGGCCGCAAAAGAUACUGUUAUGCUAGAGGACGGGAGAGGUCGACGGUAGUCCAGGGGUAGGGGUGAAAUCCUAUAAUCCUUGGAGGACCACCAGUGGCGAAGGCGGUCGACUAGAACGUGCCUGACGGUGAGGGACGAAAGCUGGGGGAGCGAACCGGAUUAGAUACCCGGGUAGUCCCAGCUGUAAACGAUGCGGGCUAGGUGUUGGGGCAGCCACGAGCUGCUCCAGUGCCGCAGAGAAGUUGUUAAGCCCGCCGCCUGGGGAGUACGGCCGCAAGGCUGAAACUUAAAGGAAUUGGCGGGGGAGCACACAAGGGUGAAGGCUGCGGUUUAAUUGAGUCAACGCCGGA